This 228-nucleotide long non-coding RNA is filed under the name Elaeis guineensis (African oil palm). RNAcentral describes it as "long non-coding RNA (EGUI_LNC012818)". The record is from RNAcentral. Lineage: Eukaryota; Viridiplantae; Streptophyta; Magnoliopsida; Arecales; Arecaceae.
UGCUUGAGAAUAUCCAAAAAUUUGUAUAAAUUGCUAUCAUGAUUAGGUGGCUAUGAAAAUGAGUUUAGCUUUCCCUUAAGUAGCAAAGAAUAGGUCAAUUAAAGCUUAGUUGUCCAAGUUAAAACACAAAAAUCAUUUUCUUAAUUAAGCUAUAUGAUCAUCUUGAAACAAACUAGGAUAAACAAAUAAGGAUUUAUUGAAAGAAAAAAUCGCGGACAAACUAGGGGC